CACGACUCCACGAGUUCCUGUCUUCUCUUUCCUGAGCCCCCGCCGCUCCGCCGGCGGCGAUUCCUCCUCCGCCUCCCCCGCCGGACGCCGCUCCCCCUCUACAUCCCUGCCUCCGCAAUCUCUCGCGACCACGAGACCCCCACUUCUCUAAUUCUCUGCUCCGUCCAUGACCUACCCGGCGGCGACAUCCCAAUCGUUCAAAGUUUCCGAUGAUCGAUUGCUCCGCCACCGCGGGUCGGUGGAGGAAGCUGCGGAGUUACUCGAGGCUUGACCGCUGAUGGCGGCCGCACCGCCGCGUGGACCAUCGCCGACCCCGAGCCACUUGGUAUUUGUUUCGAGCAGGACUGCUGCUUCAUGCAUGUAAUCAUGCCGAGGAGCGGGGAUGAACAGAAGAAAGGAGUACUCCCAUAUUCCAGAGGCCUGUGAAGAAGUGGGGUUAAAACACCGACGAUUAAGACGGCUGCCAGGAUUCGACACGUCGGUGGGGCUACCUACAAGUCCGGAGUGGCUCGAAGACAGAGGAAUAUCCUGUUUGUUGCAAAGACCUAGAAAUGCUUGAUGAUGUACAUGUUCUACUAAGAUGGCAAAUUACAGCGACAAGGAUUGAAAUUAAAGAGGGCCAUAUAAACGUCAAAAGAAAUUAGCUGUGAAGGUCAUGCCAAUCUCCAAACCGGCAUGUUUAGCAUGCAUGAUCGGAGCCAUCUUGCACGUACGGAUCACUAGGCCCUGGCACGUCCGGAUCUGUCAUAACCUGAUCAAGAACAGCACCAAACGACAUACUCAUCAUCAUUAGGUGAGGGCGGCACAGACCAGUGUGAAGAAAGACCUCAUGUCGCCGCCCUGGACCUCGACGCGCGGCUUGGACACGACCGCCGACGGGAAGAACUCGUGGCCGUUGAACACCUGCUUGUUGGAGCUGUAGGUCGCCGUCAUCUUCACCGUGGGGUUGAAGUUGUCGAUGACUUCUCCGAUCACCUUCCCGACGACGAGAGGCUCCAGCACCCUAGACAUGGCGAGCUGCAGGGGCUUGAGCUAUAGGGAGCUUGCUAGCUACCGGACUGGAGGGAGGAGAGAAGGCGAAUGUUGGUGAUGAGAAGGGCUGGUAGUGUAGGUAAACACGAGAUAAACAGUCUCGAGUGGUCGCUGUCUUGCUGCUCACAAUGUGAAGCCGGGGCUCUAUUUAUAGCUGCGUGAAGCCGAUGGAUCGAACUGAUAAGGGAAAUGUAUAAAUAAAUGUGAGGUACUAAAAAAACACUUAAAUUGUCUCAUCUCCGUCGUCUUUGCCUAAUUGUACCUGAAUUGUUAAACUGAUGCACAGCUCCAAAAGGCUUAAAUUAUUCCACUCUUUUAUCUUUCAAUGAGCCUAUUAGGGGAGCUUAGACCAAUUUCAAUAUAUAGUUUUAUGGCAUAGUUAUCAAGACUGUAAACUAGUUA
Molecule: long non-coding RNA, 1434 nt
Organism: Oryza brachyantha (malo sina)
Lineage: Eukaryota; Viridiplantae; Streptophyta; Magnoliopsida; Poales; Poaceae
Exons: 6
Source: RefSeq, a predicted model, not a curated record